CGAGCGCAACCCUUGUCCUUAGUUACCAGCACGUUAUGUGGGCACUCUAAGGAGACUGCCGGUGACAAACCGGAGGAAGGUGGGGAUGACGUCAAGUCAUCAUGGCCCUUACGGCCUGGGCUACACACGUGCUACAAUGGUCGGUACAAAGGGUUGCCAAGCCGCGAGGUGGAGCUAAUCCCAUAAAACCGAUCGUAGUCCGGAUCGCAGUCUGCAACUCGACUGCGUGAAGUCGGAAUCGCUAGUAAUCGUGAAUCAGAAUGUCACGGUGAAUACGUUCCCGGGCCUU
RNAcentral lists this ribosomal RNA (289 nucleotides) under uncultured Pseudomonas sp. RNAcentral's name for it is "partial 16S ribosomal RNA". It matches the Rfam family "Bacterial small subunit ribosomal RNA", at positions 1093 to 1382 of the family's 1533-position model. Lineage: Bacteria; Pseudomonadati; Pseudomonadota; Gammaproteobacteria; Pseudomonadales; Pseudomonadaceae. The record is from RNAcentral.